GUGACAAGGGAUUAAGAGCCCAGGACGUGAGAGCAGAAACAGGAAAUCCAGGACUCUGGCCAUGUCUCCAAAGGAGGCCCCUGCAACACACGGGUGGGCUGGCUGCCAGGGCUGGCAGAAGGAGAUGUGUGCUGGAAAUAAACGAGGAGCUGUUUGCUUACAGAUCUUCCCCACCACCUCAUGGUCCCUGGAGAUGUGAGCAAGCAGCCCUGUAGCUACCACAGAUGGGAGCUGG
Molecule: long non-coding RNA, 235 nt
Filed under: Rattus norvegicus (Norway rat)
Lineage: Eukaryota; Metazoa; Chordata; Mammalia; Rodentia; Muridae
Description: long non-coding RNA NONRATT001102
Source: RNAcentral